CUCAAAGGAAUUGACGGGGACCCGCACAAGCGGUGGAUGAUGUGGAUUAAUUCGAUGCAACGCGAAAAACCUUACCUACCCCUGACAUGCCCGGAACCCUGGUGAGAGCUGGGGGUGCCCGAAAGGGAACCGGGACACAGGCGCUGCAUGGCUGUCGUCAGCUCGUGUCGUGAGAUGUUUGGGUUAAGUCCCGCAACGAGCGCAACCCUUGUCAUUAAUUGCCAUCAUUGGGUUGGGCACUUUAAUGAGACUGCCGGUGACAAACCGGAGGAAGGUGGGGAUGACGUCAAGUCCUCAUGGCCCUUAUGGGUAGGGCUUCACACGUCAUACAAUGGUCGGUACAGAGGGUUGCCAAGCAGCGAUGCGGAGCCAAUCCCAGAAAGCCGAUCGUAGUCCGGAUCGGAGUCUGCAACUCGACUCCGUGAAGUCGGAAUCGCUAGUAAUCGCGGAUCAGCAUGUCGCGGUGAAUACGUUCCCGGGUCUUGUACACACCGCCCGUCACACCAUGGGAGUGGGUUCUACCAGAAGUAGGUAGCCUAACCGCGAGGAGGGCGCUUACCACGGUAGGAUUCAUGACUGGGGUGAAGUCGUAACAAGGUA
This 600-nucleotide ribosomal RNA is filed under the name uncultured bacterium. RNAcentral describes it as "bacterial SSU rRNA". It matches the Rfam family "Bacterial small subunit ribosomal RNA", at positions 900 to 1498 of the family's 1533-position model. The record is from RNAcentral.